Molecule: small RNA, 28 nt
Filed under: Bombyx mori (domestic silkworm)
Lineage: Eukaryota; Metazoa; Arthropoda; Insecta; Lepidoptera; Bombycidae
Description: ovarian small RNA-19886
Source: RNAcentral
UAAUUCAAAUUAAAAAAAGGAACAAGAC